Molecule: long non-coding RNA, 246 nt
Organism: Oncorhynchus nerka (sockeye salmon)
Lineage: Eukaryota; Metazoa; Chordata; Actinopteri; Salmoniformes; Salmonidae
Exons: 2
Source: RefSeq, a predicted model, not a curated record
CUAGAGAGAGAGAGAGAGAGAGAGAGAGAGAGAGAGAGAGAGAGAUGGAGGGAUAAGAUGGAUGUAUUGAGAGGAAACACAAUGGUGGACAUGAGGCAAGAACAAGAAGACCAGGUGGUCCUGGUUAUUCUCCAAAAUCUCUCUCUUCCUGGAGAUAUUGCAGGUUUUCUAUUGAAUUGUCUGAUUCACCCGCUGUAAGCUGAGGUCUGUUAGUUGGAAAUAAAGAUGGAAGGUUUUAUAAAGUCA